AUGAUCGACACGCUAUCUCAUGCAGCGUUUGUUCGUCUAGCAGUCACCUUAUGGGCUACUUGGUGGGUUCGUCGCAAGGCAAUCCAUGAGGAAACUUACCAGAGUCCCGCUUCGACACAUCAGUUUAUUGCCAGGUAUUUGGAUGAUCUGGAGCUCCUGCCGAAGAAGGUGGAGAGCUUUACCCGCCAGCCCAGGGGAAGAAUUCUCCGUCCCAAGGCACCACCAGCGGGUUUCUCAAAGAUUCAUGUCGAUGCGGCAGUCUCGAAAAUUCACAACCGGGGAGCAGCAGCUGCUGUCUGUAGGGACAGUUCAGGGAAUUAUGUUGGAAGCUCGGCGUUAGUUAUACAUGGUAUAACAGAUCCGUCAGUGUUGGAAACAAUUGCAUGCCGAGAAGGUUUGGCGUUGGCACAAGAUCUUAUGCUACAAAAUCUUGUGCUAGCUUCGGAUUCCAGCCAGGUCGUUGAAGACAUCAAGAAGUCAAGCCAAGGGGCUCAGGGGGCUAUAAUUACUGAGAUUAGACAACGUUUAUUACUUUUUAAUUGUAAUAUAACUUUUGAAGGUAGAACCGCAAAUAAGGAUGCCGAUAGGUUAGCCAAGUUUGCUCAUUCCUUAGAUCAGGGGCGUCACGUCUGGUUUGGCGCACCCCAUGAUCCGUUUUGUAUCCCACACCAUGUGGAUUUUGAAUAA
RNAcentral lists this ribosomal RNA (687 nucleotides) under Triticum aestivum (bread wheat). RNAcentral's name for it is "partial small subunit ribosomal RNA". The record is from RNAcentral. Lineage: Eukaryota; Viridiplantae; Streptophyta; Magnoliopsida; Poales; Poaceae.